RNAcentral lists this transfer RNA (72 nucleotides) under Pelodiscus sinensis (Chinese soft-shelled turtle). It matches the Rfam family "tRNA". Rfam says of the family: Transfer RNA (tRNA) molecules are approximately 80 nucleotides in length. Their secondary structure includes four short double-helical elements and three loops (D, anti-codon, and T loops). The record is from Rfam by way of RNAcentral. Lineage: Eukaryota; Metazoa; Chordata; Testudines; Trionychidae.
GGUCUCAUGGUGUAAGGGACAGCACUCAGGACUCUGAAUCCUGCAAUCUGAGGUCAAGUCUCAGUAGUGUUA